CAGUAGCCACGGUAAGACAGAGGAUGCAAGCGUUAUCCGGAAUGAUUGGGCGUAGAGCGUGCGCAGGCGGUUGUGUAAGACAGGUGUGAAAUCCCCGGGCUUAACCUGGGAACUGCGCUUGUGACUGCACAGCUAGAGUAUGGCAGAGGGGGGUGGAAUUCCACGUGUAGCAGUGAAAUGCGUAGAGAUGUGGAGGAACACCGAUGGCGAAGGCAGCCCCCUGGGCCAAUACUGACGCUCAUGCACGAAAGCGUGGGGAGCAAACAGGAUUAGAUACCCGUGUAGUCCCUGUCUCUUAUAC
This 301-nucleotide ribosomal RNA is filed under the name uncultured bacterium. Its description in RNAcentral is "partial 16S ribosomal RNA". It matches the Rfam family "Bacterial small subunit ribosomal RNA", at positions 509 to 807 of the family's 1533-position model. The record is from RNAcentral.